GUUAGCUCAGCUGGUUAGAGUGUGGUGCUGGUAACGCCAAGGUCACAGGUUCGAUCCCCAUAAGGGCCA
Podarcis lilfordi (Lilford's wall lizard) is the source of this 69-nucleotide non-coding RNA. The record is from the annotation of a GenBank genome assembly. NCBI's taxonomy places the organism in Eukaryota, Metazoa, Chordata, Lepidosauria, Squamata, Lacertidae.